Molecule: long non-coding RNA, 4313 nt
Organism: Mustela erminea (ermine)
Lineage: Eukaryota; Metazoa; Chordata; Mammalia; Carnivora; Mustelidae
Exons: 2
Source: RefSeq, a predicted model, not a curated record
AAAAAAAAACCCCCAAAAACAAUGACCUAAAGAAAACAGAUUUCAAAUUUUGUGGAAAGGAGGUAAGACCGCGUAGUGCUGGGGCUUCUGAAAGGGGCCGGAAUGCUCUCCAAAGAGAGAUGGCCUCAUACACUCGGAAGAGAGGAGAGCACACAGGCACCUGCUUGCACACCGAUGUGUUCGCUCAGCCCCGCUUUCCCCGGCUGCCCGUCCGAAACGGCCUCUCCCUCACGCUGCUGCCUUUCAUUUUUCUCUAAAGCUCCCUGUGCACUUUGCAGAGGGGCCGUGAAAAGAUAGAUUGCCUUCCAGAUCCCAGGCCACACCAGUAUCGAUCACUUUGUAGAGCAGCAGGUGUGAUUAAAUUAAGGAUCUUGAGAUAAGAUUAUCUGGGAAUGUCUGGGUGGCCCUAAACAUCACAUGAGGGCUGGGGAAGGGGGGGUCCGGGCACGCACAGAGAGGGUGGGGUGAUGCGCAGGGAGCCGGAAACCGGAGUGCCGUGGUCCACCAAGGCAGCCGCCUCAGGGAGCUGGGAAGCACAAGGACCAGGCCCUUCUCUGAAGCCACAGGAGGGAGGGAGCCCCCCAACCCUUCGGCAGCAGCCCUGUCCACUGAAUUUCGGCUUCUGGCCUCCAGAACAACGAGAGAGUAAACUCCGGUGGUUUUUUAAGCCAUCAGGUCUGUGGUGAUUGUUGCACCAGCCAGAGGAACAACCCCGAGGCCCGACUCCGUCAUAUCCGUGCCCUGCCUGUCUUCUCCAGAUGAGAAAUCCCACGAGCAAAGAGACUUGGUGUGUUUACUUCCCUGUGGAAGCCUCAAAGCCAGGCAGGCAGCAGGGGUCCAGCCUGGUGGAAGGCUCGCCACCAGCAGAGCCUCGCGCUUCAUUCCAAAGCUCAGGCUUUGGACAAUGUUUGCGAUGCACACGUGUGUGGCUUAAACUCUUCCCCUGCGGGCACGUCUCAUAUUUGGUUGGUGUCUACAGAUAUACUGGACUUCUGAGCCAGAAGACUGAAAAACAUCGAUUUCUCUUGCAGGGUCACAGCAGACUGUGGGGUGACAGACAUUUCUGAGCUGGAGGGGGCACUGUCUGUACCCCACCCUGGAGCCUACAGACAGGAAGGUGCGAUGGGACAUGUGAAGAGCUUUCCCGGGCCUCAGGGAGAAAAAUGGUGCAUGCCUUAUACGUCUUGUGUAUGCGUCAUGUCCUUCUAUAGAAGAUAUGUAUAAAUCGAUCCAGAUGCCGAUUUUUGUUGAAAUGCCCCCAAAAUUCCCACGGGAAUUUGGAAGGAUAGAUUAGUAAAACUAGAAAAACUCACAGAUGCACUCAUUGGCAUCCAAGGUACCCAGAGCUGUUUGUUUACAUAGGCAGACAUCUUAUGCUCCUUUGGAAUCCUGUGUGUCUGGGGACUCCCCGAGCACGGGAACCGCACUCUUGGCUUACAGCCUGCCUGACUCGAGUUAAGCUGAAAGGUCUUACAAGGUGGGUAUUUUUAUCAUGUCCUUCUGGCAGCCAGGGAAGCUGAGGCUGUUUUCGAUGACCUUCCAAGCUGAGCAGGUGCACGGAGGAGCCAGUAUUUGACCCCAGGUGCUGGGACCUCAGGGACACAUGGGUAAACACCAUACUCUGUGGCACUGAAUUCAAGCUGGAGGUCAAUCCCUCUCCCUGGCCCCCUGGCCAUUCAGUGAACAUGCAGCCCUGCCUCCGAGCCCCUCUCGGAGUUGUGAGGCUCUUGAGCUCUCUGAGCCCCAUCCGGUAAGAGCCGUCUCUCAGGGAAGAUGAAAGAGAGGCAAAGGCCAUCCAUCGUUACCUAAAAGCGACUGGACUUUCCAGGUCACCUUCCAAGUCCACCUCCAGGGGCAGGGGACGGGAAGAGGCAGAGCCAUGACAUACCUGUGUGACCUGAGUGUUUUUUGAUUGUUCUCCUUUGUUCCCGGGUCCUGUGGUCUCCGGCGUCGGUAAGCACACAAAAUGACCAUUUGACGUGCGAACUGGUGUCUAAUGUCCUCGAUGUGCUCAUAUCACACACAGCUCGAGGUACACACGUCGGCGUGGCGCUCUUCGAGAUCACGGAGAUAUAUGUCGCCGGCUUUGCUGACGCCCUACGUAUCCUACCAGUGUCAAUCAAGAGGACACCCAGAGUUUCGGGCCAGCGGGAACACGCACACGCCCAGGGCCCCACGCGCCAUGUGCUGUGUGAGCGCGACUGCGGUCAGAAACCCGAGAAGCCGCGGACCUCAGCCUCGUGCUGUCCGUGCAUCUUCUUGUGAACGGCUGUCGGGAGGGUCUGGACGGGCUCUGACUGUCAGCAGAGACUAAUAAAAACCGCUUGAAAGAACCCCAGAGAGUCAUGAAAGAGGACUCCUCCACGUCUGCGAAUGAAUCCCCACUGGGUUACUUUGCCAUUUUGCCUGAGCAACAGUUCACGACCGUCAUCUUACUCUGAUCAACCUGCUGUUGCGCCAGAAGAGCCUGGGGGAGCCUGGGAAACAUGCCAGGGAUGCGGGGCCGGCCGGGAUUCUCCGGCCGAUGGGGACUCUGUCGCACCCCCAGGUGGGGAUGACCGCAUCUUACUGGGACAUGUGCUCUCUGCACAACACAGGUCAAUUCCUGUGGUUAAGUUGUUGGACCAAUGGACUGAACCAUUGCAAGCGUAAUGUAUGUGAGACACUUCCCGAGCACCUAACUCAAAUACUCCUGUUUUUUGUGUGAAAGAAACUGCCAUUUCAAGCAUGACGCCCGCGUCUGGAGGCUCAGGGCCAGAGAGCGGUUCCUACCGCUGAAAACUUCACAGUUGGGACAAAAGGGCCCGGAGAGCGAGCCUGGAGGCUGGCUUCUGGCAGGUUCUGUUCCAGGUGCUCGGGUGAGUCACUAAUCCUCUCUGAGUCCCCUUCCCCUUCUAAGAAAGGAAGGGUUUUGGCUCACUUGUCUCCAAGUUUUUUUCCAAGGAAGGACUCUGAGUCUCCAUUUCUGUGGGGAAAAUCUACCCUGACACACUCCAGCUACAGGAAGGAAGACACGAGUAGAAUAAUGAAAUAAAUAAAGUCUUCAUCUGGGAAAUCUAGGCAUUUUUCUAAGUUAUCACCAUUUCAGAAACAAACCAGUUUCUUGUCUCAGAGCGACAGAUUAUUGCCCGCGCACCAGACCAGAGAAGAAACAGCCUCAAACCCAGGCUGGUGGAGUUCUCCAUCCGACUCAGCUGUAGCCGGGCAAGAAGUUUAACCGGAGUGAGAGCAGACAGCGGAGGUCAGACCCGGAUCGCCGAGCCAGUGACAACUAGAAGCUUCUGGCGCUCAGUGAGGGAUGAGGGCCAAGUCACAGAACCUGGCACUAGGUUCAACUCAACUUUUGACUUCCAAUCAUUUCCCAUCGUCUCCAAAAGCUGAGGUCUGUUCCUGGAAUAGAAGCCUUCUCAGCUUUUUCUAAAAUACUCUUUUAAACAGUUUCAAGGUUGCUGACUGUUUUCCUAAUAUUUUAGGGAACUAUGGAAAAACUUGCACACCAUAGAGAAGUAACACAAAUAGGGGAGCAGGGUUUCUGGGGUAACCGACGACACAGGCGCGCUGUUGGGAAUUCCUCCUGGGCGAGGUGGCACAGAAGGUGCUCCUGACGCCCCUCUCCUGCCUCCUCCAGCAGAGUCAGGAGGGAGGGACUGACAGGAGGGGCAGGUAGGGGCAAGGGGCUGCUGAGGACGCAAGGUCACGAUGGGUGACGUGACCGGCUAUUAGUUUCAUGUUGCCCUUGUUACAAUCUAUUCAGGCGUAGGAUCCGUGGAUCAAAGAUUAAGUCAUGGGCUUUGGAAAAAUAUCCAUCAAAGGUUUAAAACGAGCUUAGGGCUCGAUGAUAACUAAGGACCACCAUCAGGGCUCAUCAAGCCAAUAGUUCUUGUGACGAAAGGAAAAGGGGCCAGAGUCACCGUGUUCCUCUCCUCAGCGUAACCAGCCCUUCUGCCCUGGUUUUCAAUGACGAGAGUUGCACACCCCUGGCAUUUCUGGAACAUACUUGUACUUUAUAAACAGAGAAUUUCUACAGGACUUAGGAGGAACUGCGGAGCCCAACAACAAAGAGGAAGACUGGACUGAGUUCAAAAGACCCGCAUUUUGGGGCGCCUGUGGUCGCUCAGUUGAUUGGAUCUCUGAGACUUGAUUUUGGCUCAAGUCACGAUCUCAGGGUCAUGAGCUCGAGCCCCACGUCAUUGGAUCCCGCGCUCAGCUGGAGUCUGGGAUUUUCUCUGGAGUCUGGGAUUUUCUCUCUCUCUCUGCACCCCUGCCCAUGCCCGGACCCUCAAGUGCGCUCUAAAUAAAUAAAAUCUUAAAAA